RNAcentral lists this ribosomal RNA (252 nucleotides) under uncultured bacterium. RNAcentral's name for it is "partial 16S ribosomal RNA". It matches the Rfam family "Bacterial small subunit ribosomal RNA", at positions 524 to 776 of the family's 1533-position model. The record is from RNAcentral.
UACGGAGGAUGCGAGCGUUAUCCGGAUUUAUUGGGUUUAAAGGGUGCGUAGGCGGGAUGCCAAGUCAGCGGUAAAAAUGCGGUGCUCAACGCCGUCGAGCCGUUGAAACUGGCGCUCUUGAGUGGGCGAGAAGUAUGCGGAAUGCGUGGUGUAGCGGUGAAAUGCAUAGAUAUCACGCAGAACUCCGAUUGCGAAGGCAGCAUACCGGCGCCCUACUGACGCUGAGGCACGAAAGCGUGGGUAUCGAACAGG